This 67-nucleotide transfer RNA is filed under the name Siboglinum fiordicum. RNAcentral's name for it is "tRNA-Lys". Lineage: Eukaryota; Metazoa; Annelida; Polychaeta; Sabellida; Siboglinidae. The record is from RNAcentral.
UAUUAGAAAGCUUCCUUAAGCAUUGACCUUUUAAAUCAAAAAAAAAUAUUUUAGAUAUUUCUAAUAU